RNAcentral lists this long non-coding RNA (657 nucleotides) under Anas platyrhynchos (mallard). Its description in RNAcentral is "lncRNA (ENSAPLG00020011413.1)". The record is from RNAcentral. Lineage: Eukaryota; Metazoa; Chordata; Aves; Anseriformes; Anatidae.
GGCGGGCGGAGGACCUGGGCUCAGCCCGCAGAGCGUCUGCCGUGCCCCGGUACCGGCCGCAUGCUCACGCUUAUCCAGCCCCAGCAAACUUCAAACUUUGCGGACUGCUUGUCGUCCUGCAGGCGACGGGGAGCAGAGGAAAAAGUCAGGUUUUGUAAUGGCUUUGCUUGGAGUUUCAGUUGCAUGAACAGCAGGGCCUGGACUGAGGCGGCUGUGACUGCCUAGGGCGCCUCCCGACACGGGCUGGGUGCUGCUCCCAGCCUGCCAGAGGCUGUGACCUUUGGCAACCAUGCUGAUGAUCGGAAGAAUGGAGCAUCUGGACAUCAGGAGGAUAAGAAAGUUGGGAAGGAAGCUGGGUCUGCAAGAAAAAGCAACAGAACCCCAUCCUGUGAGGUCACUAAAUAUGCCUUUUGUUUAUGCAGAUGACCGAUAAAUUGGAUGUUUUAACAUCUAAUUUUCCUAAGUUGCUGCUGGGUUAAUGUGCUUUAGUUUCACAAAGGCCAACUUAGGAAAUUCUAUGCCAGUUUUCAUAGAUUCAAAGUGCUAUUGGCUUCUAAAUUAGAUAAACAGAGCUUCCAAAAAUUAUGUCAACUAUGUGUCAAGUUGGCAUAAAAAACAAGAAACACCCUGUGUCAGUGUCAUUUAAAUAAACAAGUU